Molecule: ribosomal RNA, 435 nt
Filed under: uncultured bacterium
Lineage: Bacteria
Description: partial 16S ribosomal RNA
Rfam family: Bacterial small subunit ribosomal RNA
Source: RNAcentral
GAUGAACGCUGGCGGUAUGCUUAACACAUGCAAGUCGAACGGACUCUUCGGAGUUAGUGGCGGACGGGUGAGGAACGCGUGAGAAUCUGGCUUUGGGUUCGGGACAACCACUGGAAACGGUGGCUAAUACCGGAUGUGCCGAGAGGUAAAAGAGAAAUUGCCUGAAGAUGAGCUCGCGUCUGAUUAGCUAGUUGGUGAGGUAAAGGCUCACCAAGGCAGCGAUCAGUAGCUGGUCUGAGAGGAUGACCAGCCACACUGGGACUGAGACACGGCCCAGACUCCUACGGGAGGCAGCAGUGGGGAAUUUUCCGCAAUGGGCGAAAGCCUGACGGAGCAAUACCGCGUGAGGGAAGAAGGCUCUUGGGUUGUAAACCUCUUUUCUUAGGGAAGAACAAAAUGACGGUACCUAAGGAAUCAGCAUCGGCUAACUCCGUG